Molecule: transfer RNA, 94 nt
Filed under: Burkholderia cepacia
Lineage: Bacteria; Pseudomonadati; Pseudomonadota; Betaproteobacteria; Burkholderiales; Burkholderiaceae
Description: tRNA-Pro(cgg)
Source: RNAcentral
GUGGUGUUGCUCGCGCCGGUCGCGGGCGUCGCGCUCGGGCCGUGACGCGAUCCGCGCGGCACGCGAGCGUGCCGGUUGCCGCGGCAUUGUCACC